RNAcentral lists this ribosomal RNA (451 nucleotides) under uncultured bacterium. RNAcentral describes it as "partial 16S ribosomal RNA". It matches the Rfam family "Bacterial small subunit ribosomal RNA", at positions 29 to 523 of the family's 1533-position model. The record is from RNAcentral.
AACGAACGCUGGCGGCAGGCUUAACACAUGCAAGUCGAACGGGUGUAGCAAUACAUCAGUGGCAGACGGGUGAGUAACACGUGGGAACCUUCCUAGAGGUACGGAACAACGCAGGGAAACUUGCGCUAAUACCGUAUACGCUCUUGCGAGGAAAGAUGUAUCGACGUUAGACGGGCCCGCGUCGGAUUAGCUAGUUGGUGAGGUAACGGCUCAUCAAGGCGACGAUCCGUAGCUGAUCUGAGAGGAUGAUCAGCCACACUGGGACUGAGACACGGCCCAGACUCCUACGGGAGGCAGCAGUGGGGAAUCUUGGACAAUGGGCGCAAGCCUGAUCCAGCCAUGCCGCGUGAGUGAAGAAGGCCUUCGGGUUGUAAAGCUCUUUUGUCAGGGACGAUAAUGACGGUACCUGAAGAAUAAGCCCCGGCAAACUUCGUGCCAGCAGCCGCCGUAA